RNAcentral lists this ribosomal RNA (651 nucleotides) under uncultured bacterium. RNAcentral describes it as "bacterial SSU rRNA". It matches the Rfam family "Bacterial small subunit ribosomal RNA", at positions 200 to 838 of the family's 1533-position model. The record is from RNAcentral.
ACCAAAGCCGGGGCAACCUGGCGCUUUUGGAGGAGCUCGUGGCCUAUCAGCUAGUUGGUGAGGUAACGGCUUACCAAGGCAACGACGGGUAGCUGGUCUGAGAGGACGACCAGCCACACUGGAACUGAGAUACGGUCCAGACACCUACGGGUGGCAGCAGUCGAGAAUUUUUCUCAAUGGGGGAAACCCUGAAGGAGCGACGCCGCGUGGAGGAUGAAUGCUUUCGGGUUGUAAACUCCUGUCAUUUGGGAACAAGGCCUUACGUUAACUGCGUGGAGGAUUGAUAGUACCAGAAGAGGAAGAGACGGCUAACUCUGUGCCAGCAGCCGCGGUAAUACAGAGGUCUCGAGCGUUGUUCGGAUUCAUUGGGCGUAAAGGGCGCGUAGGCGGCGGGGUAAGUCUGGUGUGAAAUCUAGGAGCUCAACUCCUAAACUGCACUGGAUACUGCUCUGCUAGAGGACUGGAGAGGAGACUGGAAUUCACGGUGUAGCAGUGAAAUGCGUAGAUAUCGUGAGGAAGACCAGUGGCGAAGGCGGGUCUCUGGACAGUUCCUGACGCUGAGGCGCGAAGGCCAGGGGAGCAAACGGGAUUAGAUACCCCGGUAGUCCUGGCAGUAAACGGUGCACGUUUGGUGUGCGCGGAUUCGACCCC